GACGAACGCUGGCGGCGUGCUUAACACAUGCAAGUCGAACGGAGAGGCCCUGCUUUUGUGGGGUGCUCGAGUGGCGAACGGGUGAGUAACACGUGAGUAACCUGCCCUUGACUUUGGGAUAACUUCAGGAAACUGGGGCUAAUACCGGAUAGGAGCUCCUGCUGCAUGGUGGGGGUUGGAAAGUUUCGGCGGUUGGGGAUGGACUCGCGGCUUAUCCGCUUGUUGGUGGGGUAGUGGCUUACCAAGGCUUUGACGGGUAGCCGGCCUGAGAGGGUGACCGGCCACAUUGGGACUGAGAUACGGCCCAGACUCCUACGGGAGGCAGCAGUGGGGAAUAUUGUACAAUGGGCGGAAGCCUGAUGCAGCAACGCCGCGUGCGGGAUGACGGCCUUCGGGUUGUAAACCGCUUUCGCCUGUGACGAAGCGUGAGUGACGGUAAUGGGUAAAGAAGCACCGGCUAACUACGUG
This 468-nucleotide ribosomal RNA is filed under the name uncultured bacterium. RNAcentral describes it as "partial 16S ribosomal RNA". It matches the Rfam family "Bacterial small subunit ribosomal RNA", at positions 28 to 507 of the family's 1533-position model. The record is from RNAcentral.